AGCUGCUACGGCAGUGAAGUCAUUGAUGCCAUGCUUCCAGGAAAAGCCUCUAAGCUUCAGAUAGUCAGGAAUCGUACCCCAAACCGACACAGGUGGUCGGGUAGAGAAUACCAAGGCGCUUGAGAGAACUCGGGUGAAGGAACUAGGCAAAAUGGUACCGUAACUUCGGGAGAAGGUACGCUCUUGAUGGUGAAGUCCCUCGCGGAUGGAGCUGACGAGAGUCGCAGAUACCAGGUGGCUGCAACUGUUUAUUAAAAACACAGCACUGUGCAAAAUCGCAAGAUGACGUAUACGGUGUGACGCCUGCCCGGUGCCGGAAGGUUAAUUGAUGGGGUUAGCGCAAGCGAAGCUCUUGAUCGAAGCCCCGGUAAACGGCGGCCGUAACUAUAACGGUCCUAAGGUAGCGAAAUUCCUUGUCGGGUAAGUUCCGACCUGCACGAAUGGCGUAAUGAUGGCCACGCUGUCUCCACCCGAGACUCAGUGAAAUUGAAAUCGCUGUGAAGAUGCAGUGUACCCGCGGCUAGACGGAAAGACCCCGUGAACCUUUACUACAGCUUGGCACUGAACAUUGAACCUACAUGUGUAGGAUAGGUGGGAGGCUAUGAAGACGUGACGCCAGUUGCGUUGGAGCCGUCCUUGAAAUACCACCCUUGUAUGUUUGAUGUUCUAACGUUGGCCCCUAAUCGGGGUUGCGGACAGUGCCUGGUGGGUAGUUUGACUGGGGCGGUCUCCUCCCAAAGAGUAACGGAGGAGCACGAAGGUGGGCUAAUCACGGUUGGACAUCGUGAGGUUAGUGCAAUGGCAUAAGCCCGCUUAACUGCGAGAAUGACGGUUCGAGCAGGUGCGAAAGCAGGUCAUAGUGAUCCGGUGGUUCUGUAUGGAAGGGCCAUCGCUCAACGGAUAAAAGGUACUCCGGGGAUAACAGGCUGAUACCGCCCAAGAGUUCAUAUCGACGGCGGUGUUUGGCACCUCGAUGUCGGCUCAUCACAUCCUGGGGCUGAAGUCGGUCCCAAGGGUAUGGCUGUUCGCCAUUUAAAGUGGUACGCGAGCUGGGUUUAGAACGUCGUGAGACAGUUCGGUCCCUAUCUGCCGUGGGCGUUGGAAGAUUGAAGGGGGCUGCUCCUAGUACGAGAGGACCGGAGUGGACGAACCUCUGGUGUUCGGGUUGUGUCGCCAGACGCAUUGCCCGGUAGCUAAGUUCGGAAUUGAUAAGCGCUGAAAGCAUCUAAGCGCGAAGCGAGCCCUGAGAUGAGUCUUCCCUGAUACUUUAAGUAUCCUAAAGGGUUGUUCGAGACUAGAACGUUGAUAGGCAGGGUGUGUAAGCGUUGUGAGGCGUUGAGCUAACCUGUACUAAUUGCCCGUGAGGCUUAACCAUACAACACCCA
This 1385-nucleotide ribosomal RNA is filed under the name Vibrio cholerae. RNAcentral's name for it is "partial 23S ribosomal RNA". It matches the Rfam family "Bacterial large subunit ribosomal RNA", at positions 1572 to 2925 of the family's 2925-position model. Lineage: Bacteria; Pseudomonadati; Pseudomonadota; Gammaproteobacteria; Vibrionales; Vibrionaceae. The record is from RNAcentral.